UACGUAGGGCGCAAGCGUUGUCCGGAAUUAUUGGGCGUAAAGAGCUCGUAGGCGGUUUGGUAAGUCUGGUGUGAAAUCUCCACGCUCAACGUGGAGGAGCCACCCGAUACUGCCAUGACUGGAGUCCGGUAGAGGAGUGUGGAAUUCCCGGUGUAGCGGUGAAAUGCGCAGAUAUCGGGAGGAACACCCGUAGCGAAGGCGGCACUCUGGGCCGGUACUGACGCUGAGGAGCGAAAGCGUGGGGAGCAAACAGG
RNAcentral lists this ribosomal RNA (254 nucleotides) under uncultured bacterium. RNAcentral describes it as "partial 16S ribosomal RNA". It matches the Rfam family "Bacterial small subunit ribosomal RNA", at positions 524 to 776 of the family's 1533-position model. The record is from RNAcentral.